This 253-nucleotide ribosomal RNA is filed under the name uncultured bacterium. RNAcentral describes it as "partial 16S ribosomal RNA". It matches the Rfam family "Bacterial small subunit ribosomal RNA", at positions 524 to 776 of the family's 1533-position model. The record is from RNAcentral.
UACAGAGGUCUCAAGCGUUGUUCGGAUUCAUUGGGCGUAAAGGGUGCGUAGGCGGUGCGGUAAGUCGGGUGUGAAAUCUUGGAGCUUAACUCCGAAACUGCAUUCGAUACUGCCGUGCUUGAGGACUGGAGAGGAGACUGGAAUUUACGGUGUAGCGGUGAAAUGCGUAGAUAUCGUAAGGAAGACCAGUGGCGAAGGCGGCCCUCUGGUCCAGUACUGACACUCAAGUGCGAAAGCGUGGGGAGCAAACAGG